Molecule: ribosomal RNA, 428 nt
Filed under: uncultured prokaryote
Description: bacterial SSU rRNA
Rfam family: Bacterial small subunit ribosomal RNA
Source: RNAcentral
UGAGGAAUAUUGCGCAAUGGAGGAAACUCUGACGCAGCAACGCCGCGUGAGUGAAGAAGGCCCUCGGGUUGUAAAGCUCUGUCAGGUGGGAAGAACCCUCUGUAGUUGAAUAGGCUACAGAACUGACGGUACCACCAAAGGAAGCACCGGCUAACUCCGUGCCAGCAGCCGCGGUAAUACGGAGGGUGCAAGCGUUAUUCGGAAUUACUGGGCGUAAAGCGCGUGUAGGCGGUCCUGCAAGUCUGAUGUGAAAGCCCCGGGCUUAACCCGGGAAGUGCAUUGGAAACUGUGGGACUUGAGUACUGGAGAGGAUGGUGGGAUUCCCGGUGUAGAGGUGAAAUUCGUAGAGAUCGGGAGGAAUAUCAGUGGCGAAGGCGCCCAUCUGGACGGUAACUGACGCUGAGACGCGAAAGCGUGGGGAGCAAACA